UCUCCGUCUGCAGGCGCUGAGCCCCGGAGGAGGAGGGGGCGGGCUCCGGGAGCCCCAACCCUGGGGCGGGGCCAAGGCGUCCUCCCAACCUGGCUUUGCAGAGCAGAGAUCUGGUGUCUCCAGUUUACAGAAGCACUUUCAGAACUGAUCAGAAGCCACCCCGCUUAUCAGCAGAUCUCAGGAGAGUGUUCGGUGGAGGCCCUGCCGGUCUGCACAGCUCACCUCCCUGGGAACUGCUCGCCUGAGCGUCGGAGCCGGCGCUGGCCCCCUGCAGCCGCAGGAGCCCCGGAGGCCCAGGACGCAGGGGAAGGAACAGGAAGAGAAGAGUGUGGCCUCCUAGAAAUCUAGCACUGGAGAAAGAUGCAGUGGCUCAUGCCUGUAAUCUCAGCACUUGGGGAGGCUGAAGUGAGAAGAUUACUUGAGGCCAGAAGUUCAAGACCAGCCGAGGCAACAUAGUGAGACCCUGCCUCUACAGAAAAUUAGAUGGAGUUUCGUUCUUGUUGUCCAGGCUGGAGUGCAAUGGCGCCAACUCAAUUUCUGCCUCCCAAGUUCAAGCGAUUCUCCUGCCUCAGCCUCCCGAGUAGCUGAGAUUACAGGCAUGCGCCACCACGCCUAAUUUUGUAUUUUUAGUAGAGACAAAUUUUCUCCAUGUUGGUCAGGCUGGUCUCGAACUCCCGACCUCAGGUGAUCCACCUGCCUUGGCCUCCUAAAGUGCUGGGAUUACAGGUGUGAGCCACCACGCCCGGCUGCUUGAUUCCUUUUUCUUUUGUGUGUAUACUACAAAUUUUCUUUUAGUUACCAAGAGACUUACAUAAAACAUCUCAGUUAUAACAGUCUAGCUUACGAUAAUAACAAUUCAACUUCGAUGUAUAGAAAGACUCAACAG
Long non-coding RNA from Pongo pygmaeus (Bornean orangutan), 886 nucleotides. RefSeq lists it as uncharacterized. The transcript is spliced from 4 exons. Lineage: Eukaryota; Metazoa; Chordata; Mammalia; Primates; Hominidae. The record is from RefSeq and is a predicted model, not a curated record.